RNAcentral lists this ribosomal RNA (267 nucleotides) under uncultured bacterium. RNAcentral describes it as "partial 16S ribosomal RNA". It matches the Rfam family "Bacterial small subunit ribosomal RNA", at positions 86 to 354 of the family's 1533-position model. The record is from RNAcentral.
UGUCGGCGACCGGCGCACGGGUGCGUAACGCGUAUGCAACCUACCCAUUACAGGGGGAUAACACUGAGAAAUCGGUACUAAUACCCCAUAACAUCCAGGGAGGCAUCUUCUUGGGUUGAAAGCUCCGGUGGUAAUGGAUGGGCAUGCGUUGUAUUAGUUAGUUGGUGGGGUAACGGCUCACCAAGACAACGAUACAUAGGGGGACUGAGAGGUUAACCCCCCACAUUGGUACUGAGACACGGACCAAACUCCUACGGGAGGCAGCAG